Molecule: ribosomal RNA, 857 nt
Filed under: uncultured Streptococcus sp.
Lineage: Bacteria; Bacillati; Bacillota; Bacilli; Lactobacillales; Streptococcaceae
Description: bacterial SSU rRNA
Rfam family: Bacterial small subunit ribosomal RNA
Source: RNAcentral
ACAUGCAAGUAGAACGCACAGGAUGCACCGUAGUUUACUACACCGUAUCCUGUGAGUUGCGAACGGGUGAGUAACGCGUAGGUAACCUGCCUGGUAGCGGGGGAUAACUAUUGGAAACGAUAGCUAAUACCGCAUAAGAACAUUUACUGCAUGGUAGAUGUUUAAAAGGUGCAAGAGCAUCACUACCAGAUGGACCUGCGUUGUAUUAGCUAGUUGGUGAGGUAGCGGCUCACCAAGGCAACGAUACAUAGCCGACCUGAGAGGGUGAUCGGCCACACUGGGACUGAGACACGGCCCAGACUCCUACGGGAGGCAGCAGUAGGGAAUCUUCGGCAAUGGGGGGAACCCUGACCGAGCAACGCCGCGUGAGUGAAGAAGGUUUUCGGAUCGUAAAGCUCUGUUGUUAAGGAAGAACGUGUGUGAGAGUGGAAAGUUCACACAGUGACGGUACUUAACCAGAAAGGGACGGCUAACUACGUGCCAGCAGCCGCGGUAAUACGUAGGUCCCGAGCGUUGUCCGGAUUUAUUGGGCGUAAAGCGAGCGCAGGCGGUUAGAUAAGUCUGAAGUGAAAGGCAGUGGCUCAACCAUUGUAGGCUUUGGAAACUGUUUAACUUGAGUGCAGAAGGGGAGAGUGGAAUUCCAUGUGUAGCGGUGAAAUGCGUAGAUAUAUGGAGGAACACCGGUGGCGAAAGCGGCUCUCUGGUCUGUAACUGACGCUGAGGCUCGAAAGCGUGGGGAGCGAGCAGGAUUAGAUACCCUGGUAGUCCACGCCGUAAACGAUGAGUGCUAGGUGUUAGGUCCUUUCCGGGACUUAGUGCCGCAGCUAACGCAUUAAGCACUCCGCCUGGGAGUACGA